UAAAGGCUUAGUUGAGUUGAGUUACAGGAAUAAUUGUAAAUGGAAGAUUAAUCUUCAAUUUGACAACCCCAAAAUAAAAAAGCGAAAGACCACUACUUGACUUUGAAUGUACACUGGUUUGGCUUGUCCGUUGUUGACAUAUUUCAUAGUCAACUUUCAAGGCAUCAAAUUUAGGUACACAUCUCUGCAAGACACCAAGUUAAACUGCCUAGCCAACCAAAAAAAGGUGUGAUAGAACUCACCAAACAGGAAAGAUCAAGGGGUUUAAAUGUUUAUAUGUUGCAGUUGGAAGACAUCAUCAUACUCUUACUAAUGAUUCAUUAUGUUUCAACGGUAAUGUUCCUCUUUCACAUUCGUAUCAUGAAAACUACUAUGGCGAGCAACCUUUUGAAAUUAUUGUUGAUCCACUCAUAAAGCUGGGUGUGAAACGCUUUGAAUACUGAAGAGUAAUCUAAGACAAAUCUGAUAGGUUGACACCAAACAGUGAUUUUCGCAUUACAUGAUGGUAUAGAUGAAAACUGUUGGAAUAUCACUUGUGGGA
Molecule: unclassified non-coding RNA, 541 nt
Filed under: Hevea brasiliensis (rubber tree)
Lineage: Eukaryota; Viridiplantae; Streptophyta; Magnoliopsida; Malpighiales; Euphorbiaceae
Source: RNAcentral